RNAcentral lists this transfer RNA (65 nucleotides) under Pecten albicans. Its description in RNAcentral is "tRNA-Pro". The record is from RNAcentral. Lineage: Eukaryota; Metazoa; Mollusca; Bivalvia; Pectinida; Pectinidae.
CGAGGGGUAGUAUAAGCUAGUACAUUGGGUUUGGGACUCAAAAGUCCUUUGUUAAGGUUCCUCGU